Molecule: long non-coding RNA, 1739 nt
Organism: Daucus carota subsp. sativus
Lineage: Eukaryota; Viridiplantae; Streptophyta; Magnoliopsida; Apiales; Apiaceae
Exons: 2
Source: RefSeq, a predicted model, not a curated record
CUGAGCAAAUUAAUUCUUUGAUUUGGUUACUCCAAACCUACUCCCCGAACCUGCUAAUUAACCUGCGCACGUAUAUUAGCCAUAUACAAACCCACAGACAUCUCAGUAUCUUCAUACAUACAGAAACUUACAGCUUAUCCCCUAUCUUCGUUCAGUGUCUAUGUUCAUGUCAACGAAUUAGCAUAUUAAAAUGAUUAUAUCACCACCAAAACCCUUCACCUUUAACGAUCUCUUAGCAAAUUAGUGAUUUUUCUGAAAAUUAGGGAUUUUCAUAGGUAGCAUGCUCGGGAGCAGACCGUGUUCUCUGUUUUCCCACCCAUCACCACCGUAGCGGUCUCAUCCUCUCCUCCAUCACUCUCUUUCAAUCAACCCCACCAAACACUUACCAUACCACGCAGAUUCCGCACUCUUUCCUCAUUUUCUUCAUCUAGGAUUUCUGUCGAGCGCAUUCACUACAAUUCUCAAGUUGAUGAAAUUGCCACAUCAGUUUAUAUUCUUUUCUCUUGUAUAUAAAAAUUUCAAGAUCUGAUGACAGUCAUAUUUUGUGACUUUCAAGGGUCCAUGUUCUGUCCUUCCAGCAGAUAUGUAUGAUUUGACGAAUCCUACAGUGUUUUUGGUUCUUUAAAGGAAGCAAUGCUAUAUGUCGAAGAAAGCAGUAGAAUUGUUGUUUUUUUUUUUUUUUUUUUUUUUUGGGUGGCCAUACACUCAACACAAACUUGCACGUGAAGAGAAUGUAACAGUAAUAAAUUCUGGUUGUGGUGAAAGCUUUUUAGUUCACAAGGUAUGCAUGUUGUACAGACUAAAUAGUCGUGCUUUUUGUCUCUACUCAGGAACAAAAUAUUUUUUUUGUUCAAAUACUAUGUCUGUUCUUUAUUUCUUCCUUUUGGGGUUUAUAAAUAGUUUCUAUAACAUCUCAUAGCAACAGUAAUAUUGAUAUGAAAAUAGGGUAAAUAUCAAGAUGUCAUGAUACAACAAUUUGAUGCUUGUGCAAGUUGGUGGAUGCAAGGACCCGAUGCUGCCUUACAGUUGCACAGGAAAGAAAAUCUAGCACAAACAUAGCCAGCCGUAGAACUGGGACCUCACAAUCGCGCAUUCGUUAUGUAAACUAAAAUGAGUUCUCUUUCUCGGAUUAUUCUUUUUGUUUUUUAAAUGUACUGUCACCAUUAUACUAACAUGAUUUCCUGCACAUACAUGACAGGUAUAUAAAUGGAUGAGGCAACAGUACUGGUUCCAAUUUCAUUUUGCUCUUGCCACUAAGCUAGCAGAUUACAUGGGCAAAGAGCGCAAAGCCGCAAACGCUUGAAAUGUCAGGAUAUAUUUGAAGACAUACAAACAAGGGCUGGUGCCUGUUGAAUCUACAUUUUACAUUUUGACAGAUGCUUAUCUUAGCUCAUCUUCUCAAGGUUACCUGGAGCGAGCAUGCACCAUCUGCAAUGGCAUGAUCGAGCUAGGAUGAUUCAAACCCUGACUUAGUUUGCACAAUUUUCUAUUCAGAGCUCUUGUAAGCAAUCCAGGAGACUCUGCAAAACAUAACUUUAAACAGACAGAAUUGGUUUAUCCCAAUUUGUCGACAUUUGGGCCUGAGAUACACGAGGAUAUAUCUCGUGGUUUAAUUUGGCUACUAAGUCAUCAGGAUGUAUUAGAAAAAGAAAGAAUUGCAUGAUUGAAGCCCCAGAGUAUCUCCAAAAGAAUAAUUAUAUAUAAUUUUAUAGAUUAUAAUUUUUCUUUGUUGCAUUGUA